GGCCCUGUAGCUCAAUUGAAUAGAGUGUCAGAUUCCGGUUCUGAAGGUUCUGGGUUUGAGCCCCAGCAGGGUCA
Molecule: transfer RNA, 74 nt
Filed under: Bacteroidales bacterium
Lineage: Bacteria; Pseudomonadati; Bacteroidota; Bacteroidia; Bacteroidales
Also listed under: 2 other names
Description: tRNA-Arg
Rfam family: tRNA
About the family: Transfer RNA (tRNA) molecules are approximately 80 nucleotides in length.
Source: RNAcentral